Molecule: long non-coding RNA, 847 nt
Organism: Odocoileus virginianus texanus
Lineage: Eukaryota; Metazoa; Chordata; Mammalia; Artiodactyla; Cervidae
Source: RefSeq, a predicted model, not a curated record
CCUUCCGGGCACGCCAUCAUGGUGGCGGCUCUGCUUUGGGGAAAACCCCCAGGAGCCAGAUAUCGCGAGAGCACAGCCUCACACUGGCACUAAAAGCUUACCUAAAGUGGGUUCAGGUGUUUGCCGCUUAAAAGCCAAUAUAGAGGCAAGCAUGUGGGAUUCUAGCUCCCUGCCCAAAGAUCGAACCUGCACCUCCUGCGUUGGAAGAUGAAGUCUUAAGCCACUGGACCACCGUUCACACUCUCUACUCAAUCAGCGCACCCUGUGCUGCAGUGACAUCAGCCCCUCCUCAUCCUGUCCCAGAAGACUCCUAAUCAUGUUAGGAGAUGAUUCUACUCCUUUAAAUAAAGACUAGUAACAGAUGAAUUCUUGCAAAAGAGAAGCCAAUUGCAUCUAGCUCUGGGAAGGAAGCUCCAGGGAUCUGAAGGAUACAAACAUUAAAGAGAAACCCGAAGCAUGAUGUAAGAAAGCUUGCUUGUGAAGUAAAAUCACGGUCCUUCAGGUCAUUCCAUUCCUCCUGUCUGGUUUAGGGGCAUAAUGUCUAUUUCUCCAAGACUAAACCAUCACCAAGAAUCCCUCAUUGUUUCUUGUCUAUGUAUGCUGGAAAGAUGACUUUUCAGAUGUCAUCUGUUUGCUGUAAUUAUCCAAGUUUCAAGUCAGAAGCACAAUAAAAAUCAUUUUGUGUUUGGCCUGAAAGGAAGACACUGAUAAGCAAAUAAGUGUGCAUUUCACUCACAUCAGCAGUCUGCUGAAUAAGCUGAUCUUACUCCAUACAUUUUACUUUUUUUUUGACCAUUACAAAAGUUUAUUUAACAAAAAAGUUCAGUUAAGAAAAUGUACAUGACCG